AUUGAACGCUGGCGGCAUGCCUUACACAUGCAAGUCGAACGGCAGCACGGGUGCUUGCACCUGGUGGCGAGUGGCGAACGGGUGAGUAAUACAUCGGAACAUGUCCUGUAGUGGGGGAUAGCCCGGCGAAAGCCGGAUUAAUACCGCAUACGAUCCACGGAUGAAAGCGGGGGACCUGCGGGCCUCGCGCUGUAGGGGUGGCCGAUGGCUGAUUAGCUAGUUGGUGGGGUAAAGGCCUACCAAGGCGACGAUCAGUAGCUGGUGUGAGAGGACGACCAGCCACACUGGGACUGAGCCACGGCCCAGACUCCUACGGGAGGCAGCAGUGGGGAAUUUUGGACAAUGGGCGAAAGCCUGAUCCAGCAAUGCCGCGUGUGUGAAGAAGGCCUUCGGGUUGUAAAGCACUUUUGUCCGGAAAGAAAUCCUUGACUCUAAUACAGUCGGGGGAUGACGGUACCGGAAGAAUAAGCACCGGCUAACUACGUG
RNAcentral lists this ribosomal RNA (486 nucleotides) under uncultured bacterium. RNAcentral's name for it is "partial 16S ribosomal RNA". It matches the Rfam family "Bacterial small subunit ribosomal RNA", at positions 29 to 507 of the family's 1533-position model. The record is from RNAcentral.